UUGAACGCUGGCGGCAGGCCUAACACAUGCAAGUCGAACGGUAACAGGAAACAGCUUGCUGUUUCGCUGACGAGUGGCGGACGGGUGAGUAAUGUCUGGGAAACUGCCUGAUGGAGGGGGAUAACUACUGGAAACGGUAGCUAAUACCGCAUAACGUCGCAAGACCAAAGAGGGGGACCUUCGGGCCUCUUGCCAUCGGAUGUGCCCAGAUGGGAUUAGCUAGUAGGUGGGGUAACGGCUCACCUAGGCGACGAUCCCUAGCUGGUCUGAGAGGAUGACCAGCCACACUGGAACUGAGACACGGUCCAGACUCCUACGGGAGGCAGCAGUGGGGAAUAUUGCACAAUGGGCGCAAGCCUGAUGCAGCCAUGCCGCGUGUAUGAAGAAGGCCUUCGGGUUGUAAAGUACUUUCAGCGGGGAUGAAGGGAGUAAAGUUAAUACCUUUGCUCAUUGACGUUACCCGCAGAAGAAGCACCGGCUAACUCCGU
This 488-nucleotide ribosomal RNA is filed under the name uncultured bacterium. RNAcentral describes it as "partial 16S ribosomal RNA". It matches the Rfam family "Bacterial small subunit ribosomal RNA", at positions 30 to 506 of the family's 1533-position model. The record is from RNAcentral.